Long non-coding RNA from Pseudopipra pipra, 4834 nucleotides. RefSeq lists it as uncharacterized. The record is from RefSeq and is a predicted model, not a curated record. NCBI's taxonomy places the organism in Eukaryota, Metazoa, Chordata, Aves, Passeriformes, Pipridae. The transcript has 3 exons.
GCAAACAGUUGGAUUCUUACAUUUAUAACCCGAUUUAUUAUUUCUGAAACUGAAAUUAAACAAUACUGUGUAUCAGGUAUGUGCAGCUUGAGCAAAUGCUGUGAGAAGACAUUGAUUAUCAUUCUAGUCCUCUGAUUCUUUUCAGUAUAUUAUUGUUCAUUUUGUCAAAUUUUGGUGAUUUGUUAUGUUUUCCAAAAUUCAUGUAACAUCGAUUCAUGUAUAUAUAUAUGUGUAUAUUUAUGUACAUGUAUAUAUAUUUAUAAAUAGACUCACAUAUGCCUAUAGAAUAUGAGUAAUUUGAAGUUGAGUAAUAUGAGUAUCCUCAGUCAUAUCAAUGCUGGGAUUUUGAAAAUGUCUUGUUAUGAAAUCAAACUGUAUACUUUGAGUUAAUUAUUGUGGUCAUUGUGGUUCCCCUUGCCAACUAGAUGUAAAAGGCUAUUUCAUUUUUAUGCUGCUUAAUGGGGAUGAUUUUUGUCUUCAUUUCAUACUUGAUGACAAAACCAUUUCAUUCAAGACUUCUGCCUAAGUAGAUCUUUAAGCAAGAGUCAAUAGAUGGCGAUAAUACUUGUAAGAAUAAUACACUUUUUAAAAGUAGUGUUUCCAAAAUGAAUGUUUUAAGUAUCAGUGGGGUUUUUUUAGAAUGGUGGGGGUUUUUUGUUUGUUUUGGUUGUUUUAUUUGUUUUGUUUUGUGUUUUUUCUUAAGUUGUAAAGCAAUUACAAUGAACUGCUAUUCAGUUCAUUGUGUUAUUCUGCUUUAAUUUCCCUAUAUAGAGUCAGCUUUGAGGAUGAUAAUUUUUCUGUUGUCCACGUACCUGAUACAGUUGACAGAGUAUAUUUUUCACCAGUUUAGAUCCAGCAAUAGCUGAUUUUGUCUUAGCUGUGGAUGAAAUUCACUUUCUUCUAUGCCAAAUGGAGUUAAACCUAAAUAAUAUUUCCUUGUGACAGCUAAUGACACCGUCCUGAUGAAUCAGAAAUCUCUCAUGAGCUUUAUUUUCUUUUUUUUUUCUGAUUUUUUCCACUGUUGAAGUGUGUUAUCUUGUUUCAAGUAUUAAUUAUAAGCAGUCUUUGCUUUAGUGUGUCAGUGGAAUCAUUUAUAACGUGUUGUAGUAUUGCCUGUUCAACUUAAACAUUCUGCUGAGGCCGUGUUGAUAUUAAAUCGUGUUUGCGUGUCCUUUAUGAAGGAUGAGUCUUUCUAUGCUUUUCUACUUUACAAAUGCAAAUUUAAAGACAAUUUGUUUCAUUAUUCUUUCUAUUUUGUAAAGUCAGAGGUAGUAGUGGUCCAUUAAAUGUUUUCAUUGCUGAUAAAGCUUCUUUUGCUCUUGGAAGAUUCUUUUGCUAAAAAUAGUUGCAUUCCUGUAACCAUAUGCUCAGUGCUUUUCACUCAUGAAUUUUCCAGGUGAUGAUAGGGCUCUCCCAGCCAUAACUAUAUUGAAAAAGGGAAGUCAGAUAUCAUGGAUACCAUAAAGUUAACUGCUGUUUGGGUAAUGGCUUUAUAAAAGCUGUGGUCACUUCCUUUUCAGUAUUGCAUAGUGCAACUUACCUUUAUUGAAAUGACAAAUAAUAGCAACCUGCUCUAUGCUUUCUUAAGGCCUAGGAGGUCUGAAUACAGAAAGAAGCACCUUUUUGUUUAACAAUAAAAAUUGUGAUAGCCAGUAGUUUUUUUGAAACACCUAAGACUCCCCAAAAUAAAUUUGUCGAUAUCACUAAAGCAAUGCAGUAUUUAAGGAUAUAAAAAUACAGCUGUUAUAAAUAUGACAGUAAGUAAGUCUUGAUGAUAUAGAAAAGAAAGACACAUAAAUGUAACAGGAAACAUUACGGCAAAAAGAGUAUAACCACAAUAAAGAAUUACUAGUGAAUAUACUUAAAUUAGGCUAAAAUGUCUUUCUGUGACUAAAAAAAUAUAAGGCAAAAGCAGCAAUUUACAGUCUGGUAGUUUUAGCAGAGCUCACUGAAAAUGAAUGAAACCUGAUUACUCCCUGUGUUGUACUAUUGGACAGAUUUGCAGUGAAGUCUGCUUUAGGUUUGUAGCUAUAAAGGUUUGGUUGGUAAGCUGGAGGUAUAUAGCAUUGCUUAAUUACUGAACAAAUCACAACCCCUGGCUCUUUAUAUUUCAGUACAAUAAAGUUUUCUUUUUCAUCUCAGUAAUUUUCAGAUUUUUAUGUUGUUUUGCCUGGUUAACAUUGCAGACUAGGGUUUGCUCUAACUUUGUAAAAUCCAUUGGGAACCUCUCACUGGCCUUAGCUUAUGCAGUAUCUCACCAAAAUCAUACUACUUCAAGCAGAGCUGUGCUGUGCACAGAAGUGGAAGGAGUCCUGGGAGCAGCAAUAUUCCCAGCUCCAAAUGCUCUGUGGUGACAGAACGUCACGGAGUCCGUGCAGAGGGAGAACAGUGAAGUUCCACAAGUGCUUGCUGGCAGGAUUUUUACAUGAACAGCUGUGACUCACAAUUUCUCCAAGUCCCUCUCUCCAGCUGAGAAGGCAUUUCAGGUCACCAGAUGUACAAUUACCAUUCUCACAGGAGCUAAGCAGACAGUUUCUGACUUUCUAGAGCAGUGUGCUUCUUGUCAAUCACAGACUUCUGCACAUUCACAAAAUACUUCCUCCUGAAGGUCUGUCAGAUGACCAAACCCCAUGUACUACCUUAGACUCCCUAGAGAAUUAUCCUGCCUCCUCAAGAAUCUCUGUGGAGGGGGGGAGGAAAAUGGUUCAGGUUUGCUAAAUGGACAUAAUUCUAUAUAUUUUUCACACACAACACUUUUAUAUCUCAUAUUACACACACUAUCUGGAUCUGAUAGGGGAACGAUAUUUAUUUAAUAGAUACACUGUUUAGUAUUUGCUACUCAUUGGCAAACAAAACUUACAUGUAACAUGAUGAUUUGUUCAGACACUAGUGUGAACACUGAGUAGACAUUAGGGAGAGACAUAGAAGUGGCAGACUAAACAAAUGUAUUGUGAGUGAAAAACAUAGGAUUGAACACGUUCCCAUAAGAGGAAUGAGGGAGAAAUCAAAAGCCAAGCAUAAUGCACAGAAGAGUUAUCUUCUUAUAGUAGUUCUAUUACAUGAUCUAAUUUUGAAAGGAAUUCUCAAGUUUCAGCCUAGAAAAUGUGUUGCAACAGUUGUUGUUUGGAUUUUUUUUUUAGUUGGUGUAAAUUCUAAAAUGUACAGGGUUUUAAUUCAGGCCAGUGAAGGAAAUAAGUAGAAGCUUUCCAGUUUCUGCCAUUCCGUGCUACUGGAGAAGAUGAGAUUAAGGUACAUGCUUAGUACAUGACUCAAAACUCUUUAUUGAGAGAAAUUAGAUUAUUUGGUUCUCUCUCUUUCUGUUUAUCUUUCUUUUCCCUCCUAAGUAAAUGCUAAUUCUAGGUUCUUCAUAAGACAAUACUGUAUGGAAGAGCUACAGUCACUGUAUAGAAUUCCAAAAUCACAUGCAACACACAUUGAAGAAAACCACAGGAAAGUCUGAAUUUUCACAUGUGGUUUCCUAAAAGAGACAGUGGCCACCACUAAAUUCUGGAAAUUCCCAAUAAGAUUCAUGAAUUUACUGUAUUAAUACAGAGACAGAAGUAAUGAGCUGAAGACAAAAAGAAAGUUAGACACUCUAGAAAUAAAUUACAGAUGUCAUUCUGUAAAACCUGCAUUUAGAUGGGGUUGUGCAAAUUAUCUUUCAGUUGGGAAGCUUAUGCCUGCCACAAGCAGUAAACUUAGCAGGUUCUUCAGCAGUGUCCUUUGUAUUGAGGGAGGCAGAAAAGCUGACAGUGGAGAUGGUGCUGUCUUGACAAGACUGACUGCCUGAGAUUGCAUGGCAGUAUGUUGUACCCAUCUCUCAUGAUUUUUGUUUCUAGAGGCAGGGGCUGUCUUAUUUUUUUUCUCUGUAUUCAUACACUGCUUAACACAGUGGCUUCUGAUAGAUGACAGGGCCUCCUAGGUGCUGUAGUAACAUAAGCAGUAAUUAUUAAACUUUGGUCAUAUUAUGCUAUUCUGGUGCUGGUCCUCCCAGGAACUUCAUAAACCACCAUGAAGCCUUCCUGGAGAGGUGGGACAAGUGCAAGUGUACAGUUAGCCAAUUAUCAUAGGACAAUUGACAUUUCCACUCUUUCCUAAAUCAGAUGUAAUUUCAUUUAGGUUUUAGAAGAGUAGGCCUCAGUGGUGAAAUGCAAAUAUAGAAUUGAUGGCAUAUCAAAUUGUUUCUAGUGGUCUCUGUUGUACUUGUCCCAGCUGUGGGAAAAGCAUAUGGAUGCAGCAGCCUGAAACCAGCACGCUGGGAGAGAGGAAGGGGAUCUAGACCAUAGAGGGAGAAGGAGGAAAGAAUAGAGCUCCAAAUUUUUUAAGUUAGUCCUGUCAGAAUCCAGGCUCCUAACAUGGGACAUUUUCAUCCUGUCCUAGAGGAAAUGUGAAGUCUUUUCUGGAAUGGAAUGGAAUAAGGAGAAAGACAAGAAAAACAGAUGGCACUGUAUUGCUAGGAACAAGAGGCACAUACAUAGUGCAGAUGGAAAUUCUGGUACAAAUUCGCUCAGAAGAUAGGACAGCAGUUCUCAGCUGUCUGCCUUGUGCAGGUGAACAGGCACGAUUUUCUGAUUGAAGUCUCAGCAACAGCUAUGCAUGAGAAAACCUGCUGUAUGUAGCAUUAGGACAUAAAGUCUUAAUAAAAUACAAAAUAUGCAAGAUAGUAUUACAUCACAUAUAAAACGAGGUACAUAUUGUCCACAAUAAUAACAUUUAUUAGGAAAAAGAAAGAAAAAAUUAAAAAGCUUCCACAUAAAUUUAAAAUAGCUUAAGAUAAUUCCCCCUUACUCAUUAUUCCCUAUCCAAGUGAUCCCUCUCUAAGUCUAGUCUUUUA